RNAcentral lists this small RNA (93 nucleotides) under Sphingobium sp. EP60837. RNAcentral describes it as "Repression of heat shock gene expression (ROSE) element". It matches the Rfam family "Repression of heat shock gene expression (ROSE) element". Rfam says of the family: This family represents a 5' UTR cis-regulatory element found in heat shock mRNAs and is known as the ROSE (repression of heat shock gene expression) element. Lineage: Bacteria; Pseudomonadati; Pseudomonadota; Alphaproteobacteria; Sphingomonadales; Sphingobiaceae. The record is from Rfam by way of RNAcentral.
CCGGAUGCCGGCAGGAUCCGGCAUGGAGAGCGUCCGCUCUCUCGGACACAUCGUCAUAGACUUGUUGCUCAACGGAGGACUUGGAUAUGAGGA